AUUGAACGCUGGCGGCAUGAUUUACACAUGCAAGUCGAACGGUAACAGGCCGCAAGGUGCUGACGAGUGGCGAACGGGUGAGUAAUGCAUCGGAACGUGCCCAGUCGUGGGGGAUAACUACUCGAAAGAGUAGCUAAUACCGCAUACGAUCUAUGGAUGAAAGCGGGGGACCGUAAGGCCUCGCGCGAUUGGAGCGGCCGAUGUCAGAUUAGGUAGUUGGUGGGGUAAAGGCUUACCAAGCCAACGAUCUGUAGCUGGUCUGAGAGGACGACCAGCCACACUGGGACUGAGACACGGCCCAGACUCCUACGGGAGGCAGCAGUGGGGAAUUUUGGACAAUGGGCGCAAGCCUGAUCCAGCAAUGCCGCGUGCAGGAAGAAGGCCUUCGGGUUGUAAACUGCUUUUGUACGGAACGAAACGGCUCUGGUUAAUACCCGGGGCUAAUGACGGUACCGUAAGAAUAAGCACCGGCUAACUACGUG
RNAcentral lists this ribosomal RNA (482 nucleotides) under uncultured bacterium. RNAcentral describes it as "partial 16S ribosomal RNA". It matches the Rfam family "Bacterial small subunit ribosomal RNA", at positions 30 to 507 of the family's 1533-position model. The record is from RNAcentral.